GGGCAGACCCUGUGCAACAGGGUGCUGUGAACCAUGUCAGGCGGGGAACCGAGCAGCAUUAAGCGGAUCUCCCUGUGUGCCGCAGUCAGUCUGUUCCCA
The sequence is a signal recognition particle RNA, 99 nucleotides long. It matches the Rfam family "Bacterial small signal recognition particle RNA". From Rfam's summary of the family: The signal recognition particle (SRP) is a universally conserved ribonucleoprotein involved in the co-translational targeting of proteins to membranes. Archaeal SRP consists of a 7S RNA and homologues of the eukaryotic SRP19 and SRP54 proteins.